CCUACGGGAGGCAGCAGUGAGGAAUAUUGGUCAAUGGACGCAAGUCUGAACCAGCCAUGCCGCGUGCAGGAAGACGGCUCUAUGAGUUGUAAACUGCUUUUGUACGAGGGUAAACGCAGAUACGCGUAUCUGUCUGAAAGUAUCGUACGAAUAAGGAUCGGCUAACUCCGUGCCAGCAGCCGCGGUAAUACGGAGGAUUCAAGCGUUAUCCGGAUUUAUUGGGGUUAAAGGGUGCGUAGGCGGUCGUAUAAGUUAGAGGUGAAAUCCCGAGGCUCAACUUCGGAAUUGCCGCUGAUACUGUUCGGCUAGAGAGUAGUUGCGGUAGGCGGAAUGUAUGGUGUAGCUGUGAAAUGCUUAGAGAUCAUACAGAACACCGAUUGCGAAGGCAGCUUACCAAGCUACUUCUGACGUUGAGGCACGAAAGCGUGGGGAGCAAACAGGAUUAGAUACCCUUGUAGUC
RNAcentral lists this ribosomal RNA (460 nucleotides) under uncultured bacterium. Its description in RNAcentral is "partial 16S ribosomal RNA". It matches the Rfam family "Bacterial small subunit ribosomal RNA", at positions 338 to 795 of the family's 1533-position model. The record is from RNAcentral.